AUUGAACGCUGGCGGCAGGCUUAACACAUGCAAGUCGAGCGGUAACAGGAAUAGCUUGCUAUUUGCUGACGAGCGGCGGACGGGUGAGUAAUGCUUGGGAAUAUGCCUUAUGGUGGGGGACAACAGUUGGAAACGACUGCUAAUACCGCAUAAUGUCUACGGACCAAAGGGGGGGAUCUUCGGACCUCUCGCCAUUUGAUUAGCCCAAGUGAGAUUAGCUAGUUGGUAAGGUAAUGGCUUACCAAGGCGACGAUCUCUAGCUGGUUUGAGAGGAUGAUCAGCCACACUGGGACUGAGACACGGCCCAGACUCCUACGGGAGGCAGCAGUGGGGAAUAUUGCACAAUGGGGGAAACCCUGAUGCAGCCAUGCCGCGUGUGUGAAGAAGGCCUUCGGGUUGUAAAGCACUUUCAGUUGUGAGGAAAGGUGUGUAGUUAAUAGCUGCAUACUGUGACGUUAACAACAGAAGAAGCACCGGCUAACUUCGUGCCAGCAGCCGCGGUAAUACGAGGGGUGCAAGCGUUAAUCGGAAUUACUGGGCGUAAGGCGUUCGUAGGCGGUUGAAUAAGCAAGAUGUGAAAGCCCAGGGCUCAACCUUGGAACUGCAUUUUGGACUGUUCGACUAGAGUACUGUAGAGGGGGGUAGAAUUUCA
Molecule: ribosomal RNA, 652 nt
Filed under: uncultured Vibrionaceae bacterium
Lineage: Bacteria; Pseudomonadati; Pseudomonadota; Gammaproteobacteria; Vibrionales; Vibrionaceae
Description: bacterial SSU rRNA
Rfam family: Bacterial small subunit ribosomal RNA
Source: RNAcentral